UUUACUCAACUUAUACAUGCAAGUCUCCGCACCCCUGUGAGAACACCCUUACACUCCUAGUUGGAAUAAGGAGCUGGUAUCAGGCACAACAACUAGCCCAAGACACCUAGCUACGCCACACCCACAAGGGAACUCAGCAGUAAUUAACAUUGAAUAUAAGCGCCAGCUUGAUUCAGUUAGAGUAAAAAGGGCAGGCAAAUAUGGUGCCAGCCGCCGCGGUUACACCAUGUGGCCCAAGCUGACUUCUUCCGGCGUAAAGAGUGAUUAAAGUAACAUGCUACUGUAGUUAAACUAGAAUAAAGUUGUGAUAAGCUUAUAUCUAGGAAACCCAAAAACGAAAGUUACUACACCCACAACAACUUGAACUCACAACAGCUAAGAAACAAACUAGGAUUAGAUACCCUACUAUGCUUAGCCACAAACUUUUAAUUACACCCGCAACGCCAGGGAACUACGAGCAAAGCUUAAAACCCAAAGGACUUGACGGUGCCCCAUAUCCCCCUAGAGGAGCCUGUCCUAUAAUCGAUAACCCCCGUUAAACCUCACCACUUUUAGCCAAAUCAGUCUGUAUACCUCCGUCGUCAACUUACC
This 591-nucleotide ribosomal RNA is filed under the name Hypsiboas sp. WCF-2012. Its description in RNAcentral is "partial 12S ribosomal RNA". It matches the Rfam family "Bacterial small subunit ribosomal RNA", at positions 35 to 1064 of the family's 1533-position model. The record is from RNAcentral. Lineage: Eukaryota; Metazoa; Chordata; Amphibia; Anura; Hylidae.